RNAcentral lists this ribosomal RNA (1330 nucleotides) under Klebsiella pneumoniae. RNAcentral's name for it is "bacterial SSU rRNA". It matches the Rfam family "Bacterial small subunit ribosomal RNA", at positions 82 to 1409 of the family's 1533-position model. The record is from RNAcentral. Lineage: Bacteria; Pseudomonadati; Pseudomonadota; Gammaproteobacteria; Enterobacterales; Enterobacteriaceae.
UCUCGGGUGACGAGCGGCGGACGGGUGAGUAAUGUCUGGGAAACUGCCUGAUGGAGGGGGAUAACUACUGGAAACGGUAGCUAAUACCGCAUAAUGUCGCAAGACCAAAGUGGGGGACCUUCGGGCCUCAUGCCAUCAGAUGUGCCCAGAUGGGAUUAGCUAGUAGGUGGGGUAACGGCUCACCUAGGCGACGAUCCCUAGCUGGUCUGAGAGGAUGACCAGCCACACUGGAACUGAGACACGGUCCAGACUCCUACGGGAGGCAGCAGUGGGGAAUAUUGCACAAUGGGCGCAAGCCUGAUGCAGCCAUGCCGCGUGUGUGAAGAAGGCCUUCGGGUUGUAAAGCACUUUCAGCGGGGAGGAAGGCGGUGAGGUUAAUAACCUUGUCGAUUGACGUUACCCGCAGAAGAAGCACCGGCUAACUCCGUGCCAGCAGCCGCGGUAAUACGGAGGGUGCAAGCGUUAAUCGGAAUUACUGGGCGUAAAGCGCACGCAGGCGGUCUGUCAAGUCGGAUGUGAAAUCCCCGGGCUCAACCUGGGAACUGCAUUCGAAACUGGCAGGCUAGAGUCUUGUAGAGGGGGGUAGAAUUCCAGGUGUAGCGGUGAAAUGCGUAGAGAUCUGGAGGAAUACCGGUGGCGAAGGCGGCCCCCUGGACAAAGACUGACGCUCAGGUGCGAAAGCGUGGGGAGCAAACAGGAUUAGAUACCCUGGUAGUCCACGCCGUAAACGAUGUCGAUUUGGAGGUUGUGCCCUUGAGGCGUGGCUUCCGGAGCUAACGCGUUAAAUCGACCGCCUGGGGAGUACGGCCGCAAGGUUAAAACUCAAAUGAAUUGACGGGGGCCCGCACAAGCGGUGGAGCAUGUGGUUUAAUUCGAUGCAACGCGAAGAACCUUACCUGGUCUUGACAUCCACAGAACUUUCCAGAGAUGGAUUGGUGCCUUCGGGAACUGUGAGACAGGUGCUGCAUGGCUGUCGUCAGCUCGUGUUGUGAAAUGUUGGGUUAAGUCCCGCAACGAGCGCAACCCUUAUCCUUUGUUGCCAGCGGUUAGGCCGGGAACUCAAAGGAGACUGCCAGUGAUAAACUGGAGGAAGGUGGGGAUGACGUCAAGUCAUCAUGGCCCUUACGACCAGGGCUACACACGUGCUACAAUGGCAUAUACAAAGAGAAGCGACCUCGCGAGAGCAAGCGGACCUCAUAAAGUAUGUCGUAGUCCGGAUUGGAGUCUGCAACUCGACUCCAUGAAGUCGGAAUCGCUAGUAAUCGUAGAUCAGAAUGCUACGGUGAAUACGUUCCCGGGCCUUGUACACACCGCCCGUCACACCAUGGGA